GUCACAUGAUCGUUGACCCGAGCAGG
Molecule: small RNA, 26 nt
Filed under: Arabidopsis thaliana (thale cress)
Lineage: Eukaryota; Viridiplantae; Streptophyta; Magnoliopsida; Brassicales; Brassicaceae
Description: ATSL073240
Source: RNAcentral